GUGUUCAUUUCGGCAGCACAUAUACUAAAAUUGGAACAAUACAGAGAAGAUUGGCAUGGCCCCUGCAAGAGGAUGACAUGCAAAUUUAUGAAGUGUUCCAUAAUUUU
Molecule: small nuclear RNA, 107 nt
Organism: Zalophus californianus (California sea lion)
Lineage: Eukaryota; Metazoa; Chordata; Mammalia; Carnivora; Otariidae
Source: Ensembl